This is a long non-coding RNA of Dioscorea cayenensis subsp. rotundata (Guinea yam), 315 nucleotides long. RefSeq lists it as uncharacterized. The transcript has 2 exons. Lineage: Eukaryota; Viridiplantae; Streptophyta; Magnoliopsida; Dioscoreales; Dioscoreaceae. The record is from RefSeq and is a predicted model, not a curated record.
AGCAUCCUCUAAAGGGAAGGAGCUAGCCGAUCACUGAGUGCGUCUCAGGACGAGACGACUGGUUCUACUGCGACGUUGGACAGAGUUGUGCUGUGCAGCAGUAGAGGUUUAUCUGUACUUCUUGUUUAGGUUUGUUAUAGUAUGCAUGACCCUAUAUGGAUCCACUAGACUUGACCUUAUAUGUGGUUCUUGUAUUUAUAUUUUCGGGUUGUAUCUUAAAACCCUGGUUUGUGCUGUAAUUGUUGCUACUUGUGUUUAGGUUCCCUAGUACUGGGGAACCCUAUUGUGAUAUUUUAUUAUGUUGUCUUCUAGUUA